RNAcentral lists this ribosomal RNA (1272 nucleotides) under Psacothea hilaris. RNAcentral's name for it is "large subunit ribosomal RNA". The stretch from base 580 to 1272 matches the Rfam family "Archaeal large subunit ribosomal RNA", at positions 1423 to 2807 of the family's 2987-position model. The record is from RNAcentral. Lineage: Eukaryota; Metazoa; Arthropoda; Insecta; Coleoptera; Cerambycidae.
UUAAAAAAAAUUAUUUUUAUUUUUAGAAAAAUGAUAUUUAGAAAAAAAAAUUAAUUAUUUAGUAUUUUUAAAGAAAAAUUUUUUUUUAUUAUAGUAAAUUAGUAUUGAAAGAGAAAUUUAAAUUAAAGGUAAAAAAAGAAUAAUAUUGUACCUUGUGUCUCAGGGUUUAUUAAUUAUUAAGAAGAUUAUAUUUUCUCGAAUUUAAAAGAGCUAAGGUAAUAAAAUUUUAUUGUAGAAUAAAUAUUUUUAAUGUUAUUUUAGUAAUGAAACGUUAUUCGUUUUUAAUAUAUCUGGUUAUUUAAGAAAAAAAUUAAAUUUUUUUAUUAAGAAUAUUAAAUUAAUUUUUUAGUUUUUUAUUAUUAAUAUGAAAUUCUUAAGGGGAUGAGCUUUUAGGAAAAUUGUUAAAUGAAGAUAGUUAAUAUAAAAAUUAUAGGAUUAGAAGUUUCUAUUAAUAAAAUUAUGUUAUAAUUAAUUUUUAAAAUAUAUUAUUUUUAUUUUCAUUAAAUUAUUUAUUAAAUUAUAAAUUAAAAUUUAAAAAAUUUAGUAAUAAUGAUAAAAUUAGUAAUAUAAAAUGUUAUUUAGUUAUUAUAGAAUAAGGUUAAUUUAAGGAAUUCGGCAAAAUUUUUUCUACCUGUUUAUUAAAAACAUGGCCUAUUGAGAAUGAUUUUAGGUCUGGCCUGCCCACUGAUUUUUUUGAAUGGCCGCGGUAAUUUGACCGUGCUAAGGUAGCAUAAUCAUUAGUUUUUUAAUUGAAAGCUGGUAUGAAUGGUUAAAUAAGAAAAUAACUGUCUCUAAUUAAUUUUUAUUGAAUUUUAUUUUUAAGUAAAAAAGCUUAAUUAAUUUUGAAAGACGAGAAGACCCUAUAGAGUUUAAUAAAAAUGUGAGUUUUAAAUUUUUAGGAUUUUUAAUUUAAAAUAAAAUUUUUAUUUGAUUGGGGUGAUUGAAAAAUUAAAUUAACUUUUUCUUUAUUUUUACAUAAAUUUAUGAAUUUUUGAUCCAUAGAAAUGAUUAUAAGAUUAAAUUACCUUAGGGAUAACAGCGUAAUUUUUUUUGAGAGUUCUUAUCGAAAAAAAAGUUUGCGACCUCGAUGUUGGAUUAAAAUUAAUUUUUGGUGUAGAGGCUAGAAAAUUGGGUCUGUUCGACCUUUAAAAUUUUACAUGAUCUGAGUUUAAACCGGUGUGAGCCAGGUUGGUUUCUAUCUUUAAAUAAAAAAUAUAUUUUAGUACGAAAGGACCAAAUAUGUAUAUAAAAUAUUAGUUUUAGAAUAAUAUU